Cavia aperea (Brazilian guinea pig) is the source of this 135-nucleotide small nucleolar RNA. NCBI's taxonomy places the organism in Eukaryota, Metazoa, Chordata, Mammalia, Rodentia, Caviidae. The record is from Ensembl.
UUGGCCCCGAAUAAAGGCUCGCAGUUACCUAAAGCUGUUGGUUUCAAGCAGGAGCCUAAAGUGAUAUUUUUCUGUGGCCUGUUGGCAUUUCAGAACUUUAUAAGUGUAACGAUCAAUUCAUUAGAAAAAGCAACU